GUCCAGGUUGGUCUCAAACUGCUGCCUCAGCCUCCCAAGGUGCUGGGAUUACAGGCAUGAGCCACCAAGCUCAGCAAUCUGAAUUAUUUAUGCAGAACUCUUUUUUUCUCUACCUGGAAGACCUGUUUAUAUGCACAUUUCUUUGGGGGCAACUCUUCUCCAUUGUCACAGAUUUUUUUUUUCCAAGCCAUUCUCAGGGGGAUUCCUGGGAAGCAUGUGGAAGAGGCGUGAGGAAGUGACCUUCAGGCGCGCCCUCUGGUCCCUCUACUCAAGUGAGAAGUUUGUCUGGCUGCUGUAACUGACUGGGAAGCUUAAAAUAACAGACAUUCAUCUGUCACAUUUCUGGGGACUGGGAAGUCCAAGACCAAGGUGCCAUCUGGGGAGGGCCCAUGCCUCACAGUGCCCUCCAGCUCAGGCCCCAUUUAUAAGGGCACUCAUCCCAUCGUGAGGACCCGACUUACUCACCUCGGAAAGCCCCCACCCCUUAAGACCAUCACCUUGUGGGUGAGGAUUUCAACACAGGAAUUCGGGGGCUGCAAACAUUCACACCGUGGCAAAGCAUGAGGUGCCGUCCCCCAUGCGCUCGGGCUGAUCCGGCGUCUCACGCUAGCAGCUACGUGGAAUUGUUAUUUUUUUCUGGAGAACUCUGUCUGGGACCCCUCUGAUGUCUUGGAGCACCUGAACGGGCCGUUCACUGUGCGCGCCGUGAGGCUGUCCUCUGGGGAGUUCUGCUGUUCUCUGGGUUCUGUCUGUGUCGGUGUCCCAGCGGGAAUGCCGGGCACUUUAGCGUCAUCCCCAGAGGGCUUGGUAAGGGGACUGUUUGCAGAGACAUAGGCAGAGUGCUGGAAAACUACCAGAAAAGUGCCGUGUUCUGGGCCUAAUAAUAGCAGAGCUCUUCUCACCCUGGUCUGAAGGGAAGAGGGAGGAGCAGUUAAUGGAUUCUGGAAGUCAAGUGGCACAGAGUCACCUCGAAAGAUGCCAUGACCUUCACUGAGGGCCAGAGAGAUACUAAGACGACCCCAUAGGAGAAUAAGACCUGGACCUCAUCCUCCUGCCUCCUGCCAGUCCCUGCCAGGGAUCGCCAAUGGCAGAACAGGACUGGAAGCCAGAGGCCGUGGAAGCCCAUGGAUGAAGUCCACAGGCCAGCCUCCCUGAGAGCAGCCUGGACGGUCCACAGGAGACAUCUCCUUUCUUAGGCGUCCCAGGCCACCUGCUCCUGUUCGGCCCCGCCGAGGUGGAAGCUUGGAGUGGGUCGCGGUGGGUGCAUUGACGCUGCAGACGUCAGCAAGUGCUGCAAACCAGAGCUGGCCUUUAACUCAGAGUGGUGGAGAAGACGUUAAUGAUGCAGAUGAGACUUGAAAGUGUUGAAGCCCUUACGCUGUGAGAGCGAAAAAAUUAAGGAAAUCUUCAGGCGUUUAAACACAGUGACUCAAUUCAGCAGAGAAGUCGCUGACAAACAAGAGCUCACACUGACUGUUUUGUUGUUUUGGUUUGUCUUACUCAUUAAUGCAAAUGAGAACAUUCACCGACAUUUGCGUAGGGCCUGCCCUCCCUGGUCAAAUACGGCUAUAGUCUCCCUGCAGAUACAGGUUUGCCAGACAUGAACAGACGUUUUCUGCGAGAAUCAAUUGGUCACAUACCAUUUACAAAAAUGAGUACCGUAUGCUACAUUUGUAAACUGUACGCUGCAGACGCUUUAUUUCACUAAAAUUUAUAAUAAACUUAUCCAUGUACACACA
Macaca mulatta (Rhesus monkey) is the source of this 1739-nucleotide non-coding RNA. The record is from RefSeq and is a predicted model, not a curated record. Lineage: Eukaryota; Metazoa; Chordata; Mammalia; Primates; Cercopithecidae.